AAGUGGAAAGCAAAAUUUUGCUUUCAGUUUCGACCUGAAAAUUUGGUAUAAAUACCUCCACUUG
Molecule: transfer RNA, 64 nt
Filed under: Camptonotus carolinensis (leaf-rolling cricket)
Lineage: Eukaryota; Metazoa; Arthropoda; Insecta; Orthoptera; Gryllacrididae
Description: tRNA-Arg
Source: RNAcentral